GAUGAACGCUGGCGGCGUGCCUAAUACAUGCAAGUCGAGCGAACAGACGAGGAGCUUGCUCCUCUGACGUUAGCGGCGGACGGGUGAGUAACACGUGGAUAACCUACCUAUAAGACUGGGAUAACUUCGGGAAACCGGAGCUAAUACCGGAUAAUAUAUUGAACCGCAUGGUUCAAUAGUGAAAGACGGUUUUGCUAUCACUUAUAGAUGGAUCCGCGCCGCAUUAGCUAGUUGGUAAGGUAACGGCUUACCAAGGCAACGAUGCGUAGCCGACCUGAGAGGGUGAUCGGCCACACUGGAACUGAGACACGGUCCAGACUCCUACGGGAGGCAGCAGUAGGGAAUCUUCCGCAAUGGGCGAAAGCCUGACGGAGCAACGCCGCGUGAGUGAUGAGGUCUUCGGAUCGUAAAACUCUGUUAUUAGGGAAGAACAAAUGUGUAAGUAACUAUGCACGUCUUGACGGUACCUAAUCAGAAAGCCACGGCUAACUACGUG
Molecule: ribosomal RNA, 496 nt
Filed under: uncultured bacterium
Lineage: Bacteria
Description: partial 16S ribosomal RNA
Rfam family: Bacterial small subunit ribosomal RNA
Source: RNAcentral